Molecule: ribosomal RNA, 389 nt
Filed under: uncultured bacterium
Lineage: Bacteria
Description: bacterial SSU rRNA
Rfam family: Bacterial small subunit ribosomal RNA
Source: RNAcentral
GACGAACGCUGGCGGCGUGCUUAACACAUGCAAGUCGAGCGGUAAGGCCCUUUCGGGGGUACACGAGCGGCGAACGGGUGAGUAACACGUGGGUGACCUGCCCUCAGCUCUGGGAUAAGCCUGGGAAACCGGGUCUAAUACUGGAUAUGACUCCAUGACGCAUGUUGUGGGGUGGAAAGCCUUGUGCGGCUGAGGAUGGGCCCGCGGCCUAUCAGCUUGUUGGUGGGGUGANGGCCUACCAAGGCGACGACGGGUAGCCGGCCUGAGAGGGCGACCGGCCACACUGGGACGUGAGACACGGCCCAGACUCCUACGGGAGGCAGCAGUGGGGAAUCUUGCGCAAUGGGCGAAAGCCUGACGCAGCGACGCCGCGUGAGGGAUGACGGCCU